RNAcentral lists this ribosomal RNA (96 nucleotides) under Calothrix sp. FACHB-1219. RNAcentral describes it as "partial 16S ribosomal RNA". It matches the Rfam family "Bacterial small subunit ribosomal RNA", at positions 1 to 107 of the family's 1533-position model. Lineage: Bacteria; Bacillati; Cyanobacteriota; Cyanophyceae; Nostocales; Calotrichaceae. RNAcentral also lists the same sequence under 1 other name. The record is from RNAcentral.
AAAAUGGAGAGUUUGAUCCUGGCUCAGGAUGAACGCUGGCGGUAUGCUUAACACAUGCAAGUCGAACGGUCUCUUCGGAGAUAGUGGCGGACGGGU